RNAcentral lists this ribosomal RNA (694 nucleotides) under uncultured bacterium. RNAcentral's name for it is "bacterial SSU rRNA". It matches the Rfam family "Bacterial small subunit ribosomal RNA", at positions 32 to 715 of the family's 1533-position model. The record is from RNAcentral.
AACGCUAGCUACAGGCUUAACACAUGCAAGUCGAGGGGCAGCAUGGUCUUAGCUUGCUAAGGCCGAUGGCGACCGGCGCACGGGUGAGUAACGCGUGUCCAACCUGCCUUACACUCUUGGACAGCCUUCUGAAAGGGAGAUUAAUACAAGAUGUUAUCAUGAGUAAGCAUUUUCGCAUGAUUAAAGGUUUACCGGUGUAAGAUGGGGAUGCGUUCCAUUAGAUAGUAGGCGGGGUAACGGCCCACCUAGUCUUCGAUGGAUAGGGGUUCUGAGAGGAAGGUCCCCCACAUUGGAACUGAGACACGGUCCAAACUCCUACGGGAGGCAGCAGUGAGGAAUAUUGGUCAAUGGACGAGAGUCUGAACCAGCCAAGUAGCGUGAAGGAUGAAGGUUCUAUGGAUUGUAAACUUCUUUUAUACGGGAAUAAACGGAUCCACGUGUGGACUUUUGCAUGUACCGUAUGAAUAAGGAUCGGCUAACUCCGUGCCAGCAGCCGCGGUAAUACGGAGGAUCCGAGCGUUAUCCGGAUUUAUUGGGUUUAAAGGGAGCGUAGAUGGGUUGUUAAGUCAGUUGUGAAAGUUUGCGGCUCAACCGUAAAAUUGCAAUUGAUACUGGCAGUCUUGAGUACAGUUGAGGUAGGCGGAAUUCGUGGUGUAGCGGUGAAAUGCUUAGAUAUCACGAAGAACUCCGAUUG